RNAcentral lists this transfer RNA (71 nucleotides) under Loxodonta africana (African savanna elephant). It matches the Rfam family "tRNA". From Rfam's summary of the family: Transfer RNA (tRNA) molecules are approximately 80 nucleotides in length. Their secondary structure includes four short double-helical elements and three loops (D, anti-codon, and T loops). Further hydrogen bonds mediate the characteristic L-shaped molecular structure. tRNAs have two regions of fundamental functional importance: the anti-codon, which is responsible for specific mRNA codon recognition, and the 3' end, to which the tRNAs corresponding amino acid is attached (by aminoacyl-tRNA synthetases). tRNAs cope with the degeneracy of the genetic code in two manners: having more than one tRNA (with a specific anti-codon) for a particular amino acid; and 'wobble' base-pairing, i.e. permitting non-standard base-pairing at the 3rd anti-codon position. Lineage: Eukaryota; Metazoa; Chordata; Mammalia; Proboscidea; Elephantidae. The record is from Rfam by way of RNAcentral.
GCAUUGGUGGUUUAUUGGUAGAAGUCUUGCCUUCCAUGUGGGAGACCUGAGUUCAAUAUUUAGCCAAUGCA